ACUGUCUCCUUUUUUUAAUCAGUGAAACUAAUCUCCCCGUGAAGAAGCGGGGAUAUUCUUAUAAGACGAGAAGACCCCAUGGAGCUUUAAACCCAACUAUAUACCUAACUAUUAUAACCACUUAAUCCCUUAGCACUAAUAUACUUGGUUUUAGGUUGGGGCGACCACGGAGUAUAACUAAACCUCCACAAUGAACGAAACAACCCUUCUUAUCUGAGAAUUACACCUCUAAGAAUUAGCACACUAACAUA
This 251-nucleotide ribosomal RNA is filed under the name Mantidactylus mocquardi. RNAcentral's name for it is "partial 16S ribosomal RNA". Lineage: Eukaryota; Metazoa; Chordata; Amphibia; Anura; Mantellidae. The record is from RNAcentral.